This 537-nucleotide ribosomal RNA is filed under the name Photobacterium kishitanii. RNAcentral's name for it is "bacterial SSU rRNA". It matches the Rfam family "Bacterial small subunit ribosomal RNA", at positions 998 to 1533 of the family's 1533-position model. Lineage: Bacteria; Pseudomonadati; Pseudomonadota; Gammaproteobacteria; Vibrionales; Vibrionaceae. The record is from RNAcentral.
CGCUAGAGAUAGCUUAGUGCCUUCGGGAACUCUGAGACAGGUGCUGCAUGGCUGUCGUCAGCUCGUGUUGUGAAAUGUUGGGUUAAGUCCCGCAACGAGCGCAACCCUUAUCCUUGUUUGCCAGCACGUAAUGGUGGGAACUCCAGGGAGACUGCCGGUGAUAAACCGGAGGAAGGUGGGGACGACGUCAAGUCAUCAUGGCCCUUACGAGUAGGGCUACACACGUGCUACAAUGGCGUAUACAGAGGGCUGCAAGCUAGCGAUAGUGAGCGAAUCCCACAAAGUACGUCGUAGUCCGGAUUGGAGUCUGCAACUCGACUCCAUGAAGUCGGAAUCGCUAGUAAUCGUGAAUCAGAAUGUCACGGUGAAUACGUUCCCGGGCCUUGUACACACCGCCCGUCACACCAUGGGAGUGGGCUGCACCAGAAGUAGAUAGCUUAACCUUCGGGAGGGCGUUUACCACGGUGUGGUUCAUGACUGGGGUGAAGUCGUAACAAGGUAGCCCUAGGGGAACCUGGGGCUGGAUCACCUCCUUAC